RNA transcript from Salvia miltiorrhiza (redroot sage), 626 nucleotides. It is a transcript of the gene named outer envelope pore protein 16-2, chloroplastic-like, with no coding region annotated. NCBI's taxonomy places the organism in Eukaryota, Viridiplantae, Streptophyta, Magnoliopsida, Lamiales, Lamiaceae. The record is from RefSeq and is a predicted model, not a curated record. The transcript is spliced from 5 exons.
AUUGUGGAGUUAAUCUGAUAUUGAGUAAAGUAAUAGAAAAGAAAUGUUUGAGAGGAAAUCAAUUGUUGAGAAGGAUGUUUUGUUUGAUCUCCUCAACCGCAUUGCUCACUGCUUCGUCCGAGCUGCUGGGAUUGGGGCACUUCAAGCUUUAUCCAAGGAAGCAUAUUUCACUGCUCUACAAGGUUGCAAUGGUGACAACGCUGCUUCUCAGAAGAAGGUAUGGUAGCGGGAGUUUAUUCGGGGCUCACCUACGGAUUGAAAGAGGCUAGGGGCGUCCAUGAGUGGAAAAACAACGCGUUGGCGGGGGCUCUCACCGGAGGGGCGCUGGCGCUGACUCUGGAUCACACCUCCCAUGAAAAGAUAGUGCAGUGUGUUAUAACAGGAGCUGCUUUAUCCACUGCUGCAAAUAUUCUUGCUGGGGUUUUAUAGAUUAGUCCCUCCAUUACUUCUAAAAUAUUUCAAUACAUUUUCUACAUUCUCACAUUUAGGGUUCUCUUUAUGUACUUCAAAUUUACCUCUACUCUUUUUAACAUAAUUUGAACAACCAAAUAAUACAAUUUUGUUGUAAGACAUGUUUUUUCCCUCCCUGUUAUGUAUUAUCUUAUUUGUGUAUAAUGAUUCAUAAA